Molecule: non-coding RNA, 29 nt
Filed under: Mus musculus (house mouse)
Lineage: Eukaryota; Metazoa; Chordata; Mammalia; Rodentia; Muridae
Source: RNAcentral
UGAUGUAGAAAAUGUGGUAGAAGCAUGAC